UAGGAAGUGGUGUAGUGGAAGCACGAAGAGUUUUGAUCUCUUCAGGUAGGGUUCAAACCCCUUCUUUCUAA
This 71-nucleotide transfer RNA is filed under the name Icosteus aenigmaticus. Its description in RNAcentral is "tRNA-Gln". It matches the Rfam family "tRNA". Rfam says of the family: Transfer RNA (tRNA) molecules are approximately 80 nucleotides in length. Their secondary structure includes four short double-helical elements and three loops (D, anti-codon, and T loops). The record is from RNAcentral. Lineage: Eukaryota; Metazoa; Chordata; Actinopteri; Scombriformes; Icosteidae.